UACGAAGGGACCUAGCGUUGUCCGGAAUCACUGGGCGUAAAGCGCGCGUAGGCGGAUAUGAUAGUUAGAGGUGAAAUCCCAGGGCUCAACCUUGGAACUGCCUUUAAUACUUCAUAUCUAGAAUCCGAGAGGGGAGUGUGGAAUUCCUAGUGUAGAGGUGAAAUUCGUAGAUAUUAGGAAGAACACCAGUGGCGAAGGCGACACUCUGGAUCGGUAUUGACGCUGAGGUGCGAAAGCGUGGGGAGCGAACAGG
RNAcentral lists this ribosomal RNA (253 nucleotides) under uncultured bacterium. RNAcentral describes it as "partial 16S ribosomal RNA". It matches the Rfam family "Bacterial small subunit ribosomal RNA", at positions 524 to 776 of the family's 1533-position model. The record is from RNAcentral.